This is a long non-coding RNA of Gallus gallus (chicken), 1112 nucleotides long. NCBI's taxonomy places the organism in Eukaryota, Metazoa, Chordata, Aves, Galliformes, Phasianidae. The record is from Ensembl.
CUCUUUCUGGAGAUCCUCCUCUUUGGUGGAGCUUUCCCCUGCAAGCCUGGAACCUUCUGAUAUGGAACAACAUAUUACGGAAAACCAAUUUUCUGUCUGGAUUAGUUCUUUAUCUGCCAAUUGAGCUCUGUGCUAUCUCUGUUACCCUGUGAGCUGCUGGGACCCACGGGCCCUGCUCGUUGCCCUGUUAUUAUCCAUUUGAAGAUCAGCUCUUCUGUGCUGGAGAGAAGGCUUGUUAAGGAAAUUCACAAAAGGCAAAAGACAUCGGCAGGCACUAGAAAGAGCAAGAGGAAGAAUCUGGAGGAUACAAAGAGGGAUUUCAAUCUUCAGGCUCAUUUCUUGGUGGAAAAUAAGCUAAGCAUCCUCUCAGUUCUCAGCCAAGAGUAAAAAUCCACUGGGUUUGUCUUUGUGAUGCUUUCCCUGACACUGGCACAAAUCCAAAGCACCUCAUUGAUUUUCUGUUUUGCCCAGUCUGAGAUCAGCAGGAUGAGAUUGCUGCUGUUUGCUGGGCUGAGUUAUUGCCUGCUGCUUCCAGUGAAGCACUCUGGCAGAUGCAAAGCAGUAGAUAUAGUUUGUUUGCUUGUUUUGUUUCAUUUUCCCCAUGAAAUGCCACUUCUGGGCAUUGUAUCUUCUCACCCUUCUCAACCUGGGUGAUCCAGGGCAUGUUUGGAAGCCACAGCUUUGCAGGACUGUAUAAAACUCUCUUGGUUCUGCCUCAUGAUCUCUGUGAAAGUUAGUCUAGUUCUGGCCAGACAUAGCCCUGCUCUGUAAUCCUGGGUGCUCUUAGCAGCUCAGAGAGUGACUGUCUGCACCGGUCAGUCUGCCAUCAGAUUUACUGACAUCAGGACAGAGGCACUUCAUGUAGAGAGGAGCGUGGAUUGAAACAAAGCCUUUAGAAAUUGCUGCAGUACAAGCAACUUAAAAAUGAGCCUGGGAGCCCUGCAGUGCCUUUGGGUCUGGGAUGAGCUCCUGCUCUCUCCCUGGAAACUUCCCUUGCUGGUGGAUGGGAUAUGCCAGUUUCUUCUGUUCUUCAGUGCAGGGAGGAAUGGAGUGGCUGAAUGCUGAGUAUUCAUUGUUGUGAACAACAGUUUGGAAAGCACAACUUUCCAACU